This 301-nucleotide ribosomal RNA is filed under the name uncultured bacterium. RNAcentral describes it as "partial 16S ribosomal RNA". It matches the Rfam family "Bacterial small subunit ribosomal RNA", at positions 509 to 807 of the family's 1533-position model. The record is from RNAcentral.
CAGCCGCCGCGGUAAUACGUAGGUGGCAAGCGUUGUCCGGAAUGAUUGGGCGUAAAGGGCUCGCAGGCGGUUUCUUAAGUCUGAUGUGAAAGCCCCCGGCUCAACCGGGGAGGGUCAUUGGAAACUGGGAAACUUGAGUGCAGAAGAGGAGAGUGGAAUUCCACGUGUAGCGGUGAAAUGCGUAGAGAUGUGGAGGAACACCAGUGGCGAAGGCGACUCUCUGGUCUGUAACUGACGCUGAGGAGCGAAAGCGUGGGGAGCGAACAGGAUUAGAUACCCCCGUAGUCCCUGUCUCUUAUAC